Molecule: long non-coding RNA, 2105 nt
Organism: Pimephales promelas (fathead minnow)
Lineage: Eukaryota; Metazoa; Chordata; Actinopteri; Cypriniformes; Leuciscidae
Source: RefSeq, a predicted model, not a curated record
CCUGGGUAUGUAUAAGACAACAACAGAAUAUAGUGUCCAGCUUUCUUUUAUCAGUCAAGUUGUACAUGAAUUCAAGACGCAUCUGUUGCAAGAUAUUUAUCAGAGAGUUUUCAUUUGCUGUUUGGAAUCCAGAUUCAGGAGGGUUAUUGGCUAGAAAGAAGAAAGAAGAACCUUGAAAGAGGGGAGAAAAAUCUGAAAACCUGAUCAUUUAGAAGACCUGACACACUUGCAAUAUAAAAUCGAACAACAUGGAAAAGCAUGCAGUUGAAAAGGGACUGUGGGCAACUCCUCAAUCACCACUAACAUUGGCAGUUGCAACAGUUGUUGUAGUAGGUUUUAUAUUAAUGCCAACAGGUGACACAAUAGUUGGAGCAGCAGCAGGAGGAGCAGCUGGAUUUUGUAUUUUAAAAUCACUGUGGGAAGAAGAACAAAGAAAAGACCAAUUAGCAGUAGCAGUAACAGCAAUAGCAGGAGGUCUAGCAGGAGCAGGAGCAGCAAAGUUGCGAUCAAUGGUAGGAGCACCGUCACUAAUAGGAUCAGCAAUAUUUGGAGCAAUAGCAGGAGCUGUCAUAGUAGCAAUAGCAAGAAAGUUGUUACAAAAAGUUGUACAUAAAAUAGAGAGGUUAAAAGAUCUCUUUAAAUCAUGUGUAGUAGCUCAAGUGGCAAUGGGAGCAGUGCUAUUAACAUGUGUAAUAAAUACCAUAAAGUGGGUAACAGAUCUAAUAAAGGGGGCAGUAGACAAAGUUAAAUCAGCAAUAAAAUGGAUUAAAGAAGCCGUAAACAAAUUAUUCAACACAUUAGCAUCAAUGGUAUCAGGAUUACCAGCAGUUGCAGCAGCAGCAUUAGGAUUAGCAGCAUUAGCAUUAGCAUCAGGAUUAGCAUCUGGAUUAUUUGGAGGGUUACUGGUACUCGCGUUAGUAGUUGCAUCAGGAGCAGCAAUUUUUGGAUCGCACAUGAGUGGACAAUCACAAGAAAAAGAUGUGGUGUUACCAAUUGCUGCUCUUUUGCUUUUUGUUUUAUUUUGUAUACUUACCUCUGUGGGUGUGUGGCGCUUUUGCUGUUUGUUGUUGUUUUUCAUGUGUUUUCUGUGGUUCACCAAGAAAGGCUAGCAUAAAAGCAAGUUGAUUGCAUCAGAUAAAAGGAUGAGAUCUGCAGGAUGAGAUCUGACUUCUUCCUGCAUUUCCCUGUGUCAUGUUUACCUAUUUUGAACAGCGAUCCAUUUAAUCCAGUGUGUCCAAACCUAAGUCUCAAUAUUAUUAUCCCGUCCCUCCUAUUCAUAUCCCUUCCAUCUUAUUUCUCACACUUUCCUUUGGACCCUGUAAAACCAUUGCCCUUUUCUCACUUCCUCCCUUUGCCACCUUUUAAGUCAAGAGCACUUUUUAAUAGUGCUCUUGACCUGACCUGCCCUGCUGAUGCUAACUGUCGAAUGAAUCAUUGUGCUUACUUUUAGUAAGUUCCUUUGCUAUCUGCUAAUGGCUAUCUGCCAUUUCAUUUCCUUUGACCACAAAGUGUGCUGUUACCCACAAUAAUCUACUGUAAAUACAUAAUUUGUAUUAUGUAUAGGCUAAUGUUUCUCACAUCUCUAUCAAAAUGUCUGGUCUGCUUCUAAAUGACUGCACUGUAAACUGAUUAAUGACAAGCUUGAGUCUGAACAAAUGAUUGCUCUUUGUGAUCUUAAAUGUACCAUAAUGCUAAUACUAUUGCAUGCAUUUCUAAUGUGUAAAAUGAUUCCCUCAUUGAUCCUUUUUUUCCACUCUGAUUAAAUUUUGUAACAAUAAAUGCUGUAUCACCUGUAUUCUCUGAUGCAUCUGUACUGUAUAUAUAACCGUGUACGUGGUUAUCAACUGGAUAGUGUUAUUUCUAAAUUUAAUGGCUGAUAUUGUAUCAUAUCUUAUUUUUUGAGAGAUGUGUCUGUCACUGACACAUACAAGUGUAUGUGUAUUUCCUACUCAAGUAAAGUGGUAUUUGACUCUGGUGAAACCAUCCAAUAGAGAUAGAUUGGUGCAGGUAUGAUGUCAGAACCCAGUCUAAUUAGAUUUUCCUGUGGGGUUUCAUAAAGGGGUUUUUCAGUUUAUGAGUAAAAUAAAAGCCUGUGGUAAACUUUA